UACGUAGGGUGCAAGCGUUAAUCGGAAUUACUGGGCGUAAAGCGUGCGCAGGCGGUUCGCUAAGACAGAUGUGAAAUCCCCGGGCUUAACCUGGGAACUGCAUUUGUGACUGGCGGGCUAGAGUAUGGCAGAGGGGGGUAGAAUUCCACGUGGAGCAGUGAAAUGCGUAGAGAUGUGGAGGAAUACCGAUGGCGAAGGCAGCCCCCUGGGCCAAUACUGACGCUCAUGCACGAAAGCGUGGGGAGCAAACAGG
Molecule: ribosomal RNA, 253 nt
Filed under: uncultured bacterium
Lineage: Bacteria
Description: partial 16S ribosomal RNA
Rfam family: Bacterial small subunit ribosomal RNA
Source: RNAcentral